This is a long non-coding RNA of Pseudophryne corroboree (corroboree frog), 236 nucleotides long. RefSeq lists it as uncharacterized. Lineage: Eukaryota; Metazoa; Chordata; Amphibia; Anura; Myobatrachidae. The transcript has 2 exons. The record is from RefSeq and is a predicted model, not a curated record.
AUACAGAAACCGCUGCACUCCAGCCAGACACGCAGCAGCACUACAGGGACUGAAAACUGAAGGAGCCAGAUACUAGAGGUCCAUUCAAACUGCCUACCAGCAACCCAGCUAACCACUUUUCCCAUCUUGUUGGAUUUUCUGUUUUGCCUGGCAUGACUAAAAACAUGUUAUGUACAGUUUGUUACAGUACAAUAUGCUAACUCUAAAAUAAAACCUAAACAGUGCCUACACAGUGA